This 956-nucleotide ribosomal RNA is filed under the name Phlegmacium glaucopus. RNAcentral's name for it is "eukaryotic LSU rRNA". It matches the Rfam family "Eukaryotic large subunit ribosomal RNA", at positions 1 to 940 of the family's 3401-position model. Lineage: Eukaryota; Fungi; Basidiomycota; Agaricomycetes; Agaricales; Cortinariaceae. The record is from RNAcentral.
UGUGACCUCAAAUCAGGUAGGACUACCCGCUGAACUUAAGCAUAUCAAUAAGCGGAGGAAAAGAAACUAACAAGGAUUCCCCUAGUAACUGCGAGUGAAGCGGGAAAAGCUCAAAUUUAAAAUCUGUCAGUCUUUGGCUGUCCGAGUUGUAAUCUAGAGAAGCGUUAUCCGCGCUGGACCGUGUACAAGUCUCCUGGAAUGGAGCGUCAUAGAGGGUGAGAAUCCCGUCUUUGACACGGACUGCCAGGGCUUUGUGAUGCGCUCUCAAAGAGUCGAGUUGUUUGGGAAUGCAGCUCAAAAUGGGUGGUAAAUUCCAUCUAAAGCUAAAUAUUGGCGAGAGACCGAUAGCGAACAAGUACCGUGAGGGAAAGAUGAAAAGAACUUUGGAAAGAGAGUUAAACAGUACGUGAAAUUGCUGAAAGGGAAACGCUUGAAGUCAGUCGCGUUGGCCAGGGAUCAACCUUGCUUUUGCUUGGUGUACUUUCUGGUUGACGGGUCAGCAUCAAUUUUGACUGUUGGAAAAAGGUCAGGGGAAUGUGGCAUCUUCGGAUGUGUUAUAGCCCUUGGUUGCAUACAAUGGUUGGGAUUGAGGAACUCAGCACGCCGCAAGGCCGAGUAAUUUUACUACGUACGUGCUUAGGAUGCUGGCAUAAUGGCUUUAAUCGACCCGUCUUGAAACACGGACCAAGGAGUCUAACAUGCCUGCGAGUGUUUGGGUGGAAAACCCGAGCGCGUAAUGAAAGUGAAAGUUGAGAUCCCUGUCGUGGGGAGCAUCGACGCCCGGACCAGACCUUUUGUGACGGUUCCGCGGUAGAGCAUGUAUGUUGGGACCCGAAAGAUGGUGAACUAUGCCUGAAUAGGGUGAAGCCAGAGGAAACUCUGGUGGAGGCUCGUAGCGAUUCUGACGUGCAAAUCGAUCGUCAAAUUUGGGUAUAGGGGCGAAAGACUAAUCGAAC